AUUGAACGCUGGCGGCAGGCCUAACACAUGCAAGUCGAGCGGAAACGAUGGAAGCUUGCUUCCAGGCGUCGAGCGGCGGACGGGUGAGUAAUGCAUGGGAAUCUGCCCGAUAGUGGGGGAUAACCUGGGGAAACCCAGGCUAAUACCGCAUACGUCCUACGGGAGAAAGCAGGGGAUCUUCGGACCUUGCGCUAUCGGAUGAGCCCAUGUCGGAUUAGCUUGUUGGUGAGGUAAUGGCUCACCAAGGCGACGAUCCGUAGCUGGUCUGAGAGGAUGAUCAGCCACAUCGGGACUGAGACACGGCCCGAACUCCUACGGGAGGCAGCAGUGGGGAAUAUUGGACAAUGGGCGAAAGCCUGAUCCAGCCAUGCCGCGUGUGUGAAGAAGGCCCUCGGGUUGUAAAACACUUUCAGUGGGGAAGAAAGCCUUGGGAUUAAUACUCCCGAGGAAGGACAUCACUCACAGAAGAAGCACCGGCUAACUCCGUGCCAGCAGCCGCGGUAAUACGGAGGGUGCGAGCGUUAAUCGGAAUUACUGGGCGUAAAGCGCGCGUAGGCGGUCUGAUAAGCCGGUUGUGAAAGCCCCGGGCUCAACCUGGGAACGGCAUCCGGAACUGUCAGGCUAGAGUGCAGGAGAGGAAGGUAGAAUUCCCGGUGUAGCGGUGAAAUGCGUAGAGAUCGGGAGGAAUACCAGUGGCGAAGGCGGCCUUCUGGACUGACACUGACACUGAGGUGCGAAAGCGUGGGUAGCAAACA
Molecule: ribosomal RNA, 755 nt
Filed under: uncultured Halomonas sp.
Lineage: Bacteria; Pseudomonadati; Pseudomonadota; Gammaproteobacteria; Oceanospirillales; Halomonadaceae
Description: bacterial SSU rRNA
Rfam family: Bacterial small subunit ribosomal RNA
Source: RNAcentral